GAUGAACGCUAGCGGCAGGCCUAACACAUGCAAGUCGAGGGAGGAGCUUUCGGGCUUCGACCGGCGUACGGGUGCGUAACGCGUAUACAAUCUGCCUUUCACAUAGGGAUAGCCCGAAGAAAUUUGGAUUAAUACCUAAUGGUAUAUAGAGGUGGCAUCACCUUUAUAUUAAAGCUGAGGCGGUGAAAGAUGAGUAUGCGUUCUAUUAGCUAGUUGGAGAGGUAACGGCUCCCCAAGGCGACGAUAGAUAGGGGUUCUGAGAGGGAUAUCCCCCACACUGGUACUGCGAUACGGACCAGACUCCUACGGGAGGCAGCAGUGAGGAAUAUUGGACAAUGGUCGGAAGACUGAUCCAGCCAUGCCGCGUGCAGGAAGACGGCCUUAUGGGUUGUAAACUGCUUUUGCAGGGGAAGAAUAAGGACUACGCGUAGUUUGAUGACGGUACUCUGAGAAUAAGCAUCGGCUAACUCCGUG
This 474-nucleotide ribosomal RNA is filed under the name uncultured bacterium. RNAcentral's name for it is "partial 16S ribosomal RNA". It matches the Rfam family "Bacterial small subunit ribosomal RNA", at positions 28 to 507 of the family's 1533-position model. The record is from RNAcentral.